This 460-nucleotide ribosomal RNA is filed under the name uncultured bacterium. RNAcentral describes it as "partial 16S ribosomal RNA". It matches the Rfam family "Bacterial small subunit ribosomal RNA", at positions 338 to 795 of the family's 1533-position model. The record is from RNAcentral.
CCUACGGGAGGCUGCAGUGAGGAAUAUUGGUCAAUGGACGAGAGUCUGAACCAGCCAAGUAGCGUGAAGUAUGAAUGCCCUAUGGGUUGUAAACUUCUUUUAUAUGGGAAUAAAAUGUUCCACGUGUGGGAUUUUGUAUGUACCAUAUGAAUAAGGAUCGGCUAACUCCGUGCCAGCAGCCGCGGUAAUACGGAGGAUCCGAGCGUUAUCCGGAUUUAUUGGGUUUAAAGGGAGCGUAGGUGGAUUGUUAAGUCAGUUGUGAAAGUUUGCGGCUCAACCGUAAAAUUGCAGUUGAAACUGGCAGUCUGGAGUACAGUAGAGGUGGGCGGAAUUCGUGGUGUAGCGGUGAAAUGCUUAGAUAUCACGAAGAACUCCGAUUGCGAAGGCAGCUCACUGGACUGCAACUGACACUGAGGCUCGAAAGUGUGGGUAUCAAACAGGAUUAGAUACCCCUGUAGUC